RNAcentral lists this ribosomal RNA (486 nucleotides) under uncultured bacterium. Its description in RNAcentral is "partial 16S ribosomal RNA". It matches the Rfam family "Bacterial small subunit ribosomal RNA", at positions 28 to 507 of the family's 1533-position model. The record is from RNAcentral.
GACGAACGCUGGCGGCGUGCUUAACACAUGCAAGUCGAACGGAAAGGCCUCUUUCGGGGGGUACUCGAGUGGCGAACGGGUGAGUAACACGUGAGUAACCUGCCCUUGACUUUGGGAUAACUUCAGGAAACUGGGGCUAAUACCGGAUAGGAGCUCCUGCUGCAUGGUGGGGGUUGGAAAGUUUCGGCGGUUGGGGAUGGACUCGCGGCUUAUCAGCUUGUUGGUGGGGUAGUGGCUUACCAAGGCUUUGACGGGUAGCCGGCCUGAGAGGGUGACCGGCCACACUGGGACUGAGACACGGCCCAGACUCCUACGGGAGGCAGCAGUAGGGAAUCUUCCGCAAUGGACGAAAGUCUGACGGAGCAACGCCGCGUGAGCGAAGAAGGCCUUCGGGUCGUAAAGCUCUGUUGUUAGGGAAGAACAAGUAACGCAGUAACUGGCGUUACCGUGACGGUACCUAACGAGAAAGCCACGGCUAACUACGUG